UACGUAGGGUGCAAGCGUUAAUCGGAAUUACUGGGCGUAAGGCGUGCGCAGGCGGUUUUGUAAGUCUGACGUGAAACGCCCCGGGCUCAACCUGGGAAUUGCGUUGGAGACUGCAAGGCUUGAAUCUGGCAGAGGGGGUAGGAAUUCCACGUGUAGCAGUGAAAUGCGUAGAGAUGUGGAGGAACACCGAUGGCGAAGGCAGCCCCUGGGUCAAGAUUGACGCUCAUGCACGAAAGCGUGGGGAGCAAACAGGAUUAGAACCUCCGUAGUACGU
This 274-nucleotide ribosomal RNA is filed under the name uncultured bacterium. Its description in RNAcentral is "partial 16S ribosomal RNA". It matches the Rfam family "Bacterial small subunit ribosomal RNA", at positions 524 to 798 of the family's 1533-position model. The record is from RNAcentral.